AUCUUUCUAGUAUUAACCCAGUAUUUGUGACUUCCAAUCACCCGGUCUUGGUGAAAAUCCAGGGAAAGAUA
Molecule: transfer RNA, 71 nt
Filed under: Neosalanx taihuensis
Lineage: Eukaryota; Metazoa; Chordata; Actinopteri; Osmeriformes; Salangidae
Also listed under: 1 other name
Description: tRNA-Gly
Source: RNAcentral